CUCAGAUAUGAAGUGCACCCCAACCCCACUAAUGUGCAGAAUUCUUUCCUAAGCUGUCCCUAUCAGUGGCAGCAUCCUCUCCCUACACUAAUAAGACCGCAUGUGCGUGCGGCGCUACGUGACUCCAGCUUUUAUAUAAAGGCUGGGUCACAUGCUGCACUGGCCAAUCUCAGCCAUUCCAUUAGUAGGCAUGGCUGUGAUGGCUUCUAAGGGCACACGAGUCAGACGCUUGUUGAUCGGCUGCCCUGCAGCCUUUCAAAACGCGCCAUUAAAUCGCCAAACACCGAACUCCAACCCGAACAUACAGUGAUUUGUCCGUGUUCAGGUCCGGGGUCCAAAAAACCUAAUGUUCGGUACGAACCUGAAGUUUUCAGUUCGGGUUUGCUCAACUCUACAA
Molecule: non-coding RNA, 397 nt
Organism: Pelobates cultripes (western spadefoot toad)
Lineage: Eukaryota; Metazoa; Chordata; Amphibia; Anura; Pelobatidae
Source: the annotation of a GenBank genome assembly